RNAcentral lists this ribosomal RNA (59 nucleotides) under Mucor luteus. RNAcentral describes it as "partial 28S ribosomal RNA". It matches the Rfam family "Eukaryotic large subunit ribosomal RNA", at positions 1 to 57 of the family's 3401-position model. The record is from RNAcentral. Lineage: Eukaryota; Fungi; Mucoromycota; Mucoromycetes; Mucorales; Mucoraceae.
CUUGAUCUGAAAUCAGCGGGGAUUACCCGCUGAACUUAAGCAUAUCAAUAAGCGGAGGA